ACAAUUAUUAUUGAAUUCUCCCCCCCCCUUCACCGGGAGGGUUAGGUUCUCUAACACUUGUGUGCACUGUUUAUUGUCUCUCGGCGUUCGAGGGUUGGGUGUCCAGGAGCUAGCUUCUUGGCGCCCUUGGGCUUUUUAACGGCCUUGACCUACCCCUGAGCGUCAACUUAAACUUGAUUUUAUUUAUACUAUAAGCCUUUAAUUUUAAAUUUAUAAUUUGAAAA
RNAcentral lists this unclassified non-coding RNA (224 nucleotides) under uncultured Chytridiomycota. RNAcentral's name for it is "sequence contains ITS1". The record is from RNAcentral. Lineage: Eukaryota; Fungi; Chytridiomycota.